Long non-coding RNA from Anguilla rostrata (American eel), 3754 nucleotides. RefSeq lists it as uncharacterized. The transcript is spliced from 2 exons. NCBI's taxonomy places the organism in Eukaryota, Metazoa, Chordata, Actinopteri, Anguilliformes, Anguillidae. The record is from RefSeq and is a predicted model, not a curated record.
GAAGUCCUACACCAUGAAUAGUGCGCACAGGAAGAGCUGAGCGUGGCGAAACCCUGGUGUUGCAAAAGUUUCUUUCUGAUUACUUAAUUUUAAGUUCCCUGUUAGUCCCCACAUGUCUUCCUGAUGAACGUGGACCAUUUUAUGUCCAAUGGCACUUUAAAGAAGAACCCAGGACCAGGUUGGGGCUCCUACAAAUGAGCUUUGACUGACCGCCCUCUUAGUGUGCACUGGAGUCGCUGAGCACAUACAUCGCAGCAUGUUCAGUGCUGACUCACCUGAUCACAGAUAUGCAGAUCGGUGAUUGAGUGGACAAUGCGCGAUGGUGCGAGAUGCGUCCUGCGGUGGCGCUCCUGGAAGAGGUACUCAAACCUUUCCCAGUUGGCGCUGCGGGGCAGGGUAAAGUCGUAAUUGCACAUGUGAUACUCGGUGAGGGGCCUGCGGCAGGUGUGGUGGGGGAUGUCCCAGGGCAGGGGAAACUCAGCAGAGCUGCCACAGCUUUGAUGGCCUGGGCGUGGCUCGGGGCUCCACGUCUGGACCACAGGUGCAACGUCGUUCCCGGUGACCCGCUGCUGGGCGUCUUCGCCUGGCUUCUGCUCUUGGUUUUUUGCCGGACCUGUGCGUGAUGUGACGAGGCUGUCGUUCUUCAAUAAGAAGUCCGGGACGUGAGCUGGGGAGGUCAAAAUUGAAACUGAAUUACUUUAAUCAAUCAAGCUAAUGGUGUUUGAUAUGGCACUUUGCAAUGUCACUGGGUACUUAACCAGCCCAAAUGUUACAGGCAUGGCAGUGGUGUGGAUUUAAUCAUUGUUAUUUAAACAUUUGGAUUGAAACACUAAUUUGUUUUUUCUUCACAAAGACACUUAGGCAAGUUCAUAUAUCACCCAAAUGAACUCAACUGCUUUGUGAAUAUAAAAGGAAAAUGUAUUUGUAAUUCAAAUGUUAACUGAAUCCAGUCCAUUGUAUUGUUGUUCAAAGACACAACUAGGUAACACUUAAACAUUAUUACAUGUGUAUUUACAUGGGCAUACAUUCAAUACUUUUAAUUUGUGUGAAUAAAUUUAGAUAAUUGAAUGUGUGUAUUCUCAACUUUAUUUUGGGUGAAAAUCGUUUGCUGUUUAAACAAGAAUAUACUGUGUUUUCAAAUUUCCCAAGAAGUUUGGCAUUACAUUUGGGAAUAAAUCAUUCUUCUAAAGAAGUCUACUAAAGCUUAAUAAUAAAUAUAGCCUAGUUAUAUUGUAUAGUGCCUUUUUAAAAUGAUCCAUUUACACAUUUAAAGUUGUAUGUACAUUGUUUUGUGUUUUCAACACCUUUAAUUAAUUUGCUGGUUUAAGUACUUAUAUUUGUCACAUUGACUUUUGGAACAUGGGGUCCAUCAUGUGUUUCUCCUAGGCCAUCCCAGGGCAUACCACUCAUCUCAGAUGUGCCCUGUCCCACCUCUGGACUGUUCUUCCCCCCCCCAUGAGCUUCUGUGUUCUCUUUAGUGUUCCCAUGGAACCCCCUGUCCCUGUGUCAGUGUCCGCAAUCUGGGGAAGCGUUCAGUUAGACUGUCAAUAUGGUGACAGAGGAGAUUCAGGAGGCAAUGGUACCUGCAUCACACAAUCACACACCUGACCACCAGCUCACAUACUGCAUGGCCUUGUGUUCCAUCAGCCACAAUCUGUCUUUGUGACUGGUGCAGCAGGCCAUUUGGUGCUGACAUUUUACCAUGUGGUGCAGGUGUGUCUCUUUACACCCAUUUCCCGCAACACGCAGAAGCACCAAAGGCCUUUUCAUUGAAAAAAGAUAUGAAAAGCCUACGCAAAACGUCUGUCUGUUUUGAUUUGUCAAUCAAGAAACUGGUAAUACAAAAAAUCACUGAAAAGGCCUGACAAUUAUUUAGGAAACUUAAGUUGUGGGCUACACUGAAGCAGAAGCUACAUAAACACCAGCACAAUCACCAACAUGGUAUCAUUGCCAUAGCAACAAAUGCAGACAGAAAUCAUAAACAGCUAUUUUUAGUGGUUAUCCAUUUUAGCGGUUAGCGGACAGGUCAAGGUUCUGUCCAUCCCAUCAAUUUGGGAAUUUAUCUACUGUAAUCCUUCUGACUCAUAGGUUACAGGCUUUUUCUUCCCCUAACCCCCACCAAAUAACCCCCUCAUGUGUGUAAGGGAUUACUGAGGCAAAACAUUACCAUCUGUACUGCAUAACAGGACAAUUAUCAUUUAUGUGAAGAGAUUUAUCUUUGCUGGAAAAAGGUGUUUCGCUCAUUACUAGUCUACACAGGAAAAUGUCCAGUGUUUAUUUCAACUCCUAACAGAUAACUUUUGGUCCAACAUUCCAGAGCGGACAUUUUACUGUGCGUGUUUCAUCUCUUAGUAUGCAUGUAACAAUUAUCUCAAAACUAUGAUUUUUAUACCAAGUACCAGAACGUAGUGAAGGUGAUUUUUUAAUGACAUUUUUGUUAGAGACUUACACAAUCUUUGUAGUGGUGUUUUGUCUUACAGCAGAUGGUCUCAUUAUGUACACUGAAUGAACUACUGUGCAGAAGUAGUUUAUAAAAUUAUUGUCCAGAGGUAGAAAGUAUCACUGAGAUGAUUAUGGAGAUGAAUUAUUACCACUGAGGUACCCUUAUCUCUUUACAUUUUCCUAUGUACUACAGGAAAUUCUAAUUCAUGUAUUUAACUAAAUAUUCUGCUCCAUGAGUGGCACAUUCGAGUUAAUUAAUUUUUUGGGCUCUUGUUUGUAUAUGCCAGGUUUUACAUGUGAUUUUUACCUGAAUUUGAAGUUUAUUUUCCCUUCUCUCAGAGCUGAGCUGGGACACUCUGUCUCCCCCUCCACCUGAAACUCGGACUGUAUGAGAUCUGUGCCCAUCGCUAAAAAGUCGAAAUCAACAGGUUGGAAUUGUGCUCAUUUCUGCUCUGUUAAUUCUGUUAUUUAAUCUUCAUCUGACAGCCAGGAAACAUCUCCCUCAGUUUAGCACAAAUAUUUUUCCUGAAAGUGCUGAAGCAUGUAGCGCAUAAAAAUUUGUCCUCGUUUGCAACACUCACUACAGAGUUACACACUACCUCUGGAAACAACGUCAGCACAAGAACUGUUGUUCAUCGAGAGCUUCAAGAAAUGAGAAGCCAUACACAAGCCUAAGAUCACCAUGCGCAAUGCCAAGUGCCAGGUGGAAUGGUGUAAAGCACACCACCAUUGGACUCUGGAGCAGUACAAAACACGUUCUCUGGAGUGAUGUAUCACGCUUCACUAUCUGGCAGUCUGACGGAUGAAUCGGGGUUUGGCGAAAUGCUUAGUGCCCUUAGUUCCAGUGAACUUUGUGGCAACAGUUUGGGGGAAGGCCGUUUCCUGUUUCAGCAUGGCAAUGCCCCAUUGCACAAAGCAAGGUCACUAAAGAAAUGGUUAGCUGGGUUUGGUGGUGAAGAACUUGACUGGCCUGCACAGAGCCCUGAUCUACCACAUCAAACACUUUUGGGAUAAAUUGGAAUGGCCUCUGCGAGCCAGGCCUUAUACCCAGCAUCAGUCCCCAACCUCGCUAAUGCUCAUGCGACUGAAUCCACAAAUCUUGCAAAUCCCCGCAGCCAUGUUUCAAAAUCUACUGGAAAGCCUUCCCAGAAGAGUGGAGGCUGUUACAACAGCAAAGGUGUAUCCGACUCCAUAUCAAUGCCCAUGGUUUUGGAAUGAGAUGUUCAACAAGUACACACGGGUGUGAUGUUUAGGUGCCCACAUACCUUCGAAAAUAUGCUGUACAUAAAUAAAUUAAUAUGCAAUGUGUCAU